CAUGAUUCUAACCUUAACAAUGUUAAUCUCGACAGAACCCAUAACUAUAUCAGGCAUCAACAUACAAAUGAGAAUUUUGACAACAUCAAAGCUGGCUUUUUACUUGGUGACCUCAUCUUCAAACACAAAUGAACCCCAUAAACUAUUGGUACCUACAAAAACUUGUUUAACCCAUCCAUGCAAUAGAACACCUUCACAACGAAACCAAGCAAAG
This 214-nucleotide long non-coding RNA is filed under the name Ricinus communis (castor bean). Its description in RNAcentral is "long non-coding RNA (RCOM_LNC001570)". Lineage: Eukaryota; Viridiplantae; Streptophyta; Magnoliopsida; Malpighiales; Euphorbiaceae. The record is from RNAcentral.